UAAUAAACGGAGCAAUUCCAAGAGGGUCCUCACACCAUCGGUGCUCGGGCCCUAAUUAAAGCUGCAAGCAGCGAUGAACGGGCCCUCGCACCCGGGCUCACCGCCAUCGUGUGGCUUUAGUAAAAAGGUGAACGUUGAGAAAUAUGCAUUUAAUGUCCUAAAUAUAAGUGGAAUAUAUCAAAGUAUAUCCCAUAUAUGUGCCAAUCUUACCGUUGCCAGCAGGUGGCGCUAUCAUUAUAAUGGAAUAUUGGCCUUCAGAUGUGUUCAGGCCAGGACUCUUAUCGAACAUGUGAAGUUUGGGGAAGAUUGAACAUUUUAUGCUUGAGUUACAACAACUUCUCUUGCUGUGGCAAGACAUCAAAUUUUGUCAUGGCGCCAUGGAAACGGCCUUUAACAAAAACUCAAGAUCUCCAAAAGUUAACAUUGCACAGGCCUUUAGAUUAGACUGACCACAAAAUAUAUGUUAAUCUCAAAAAAAUUAUAGGAGUAGUUUGUUGCAGCGUAAAACAUGUCACUUCCUGUUGCCAAUAGGUGGCGCUAUGACUAUAACUGAAUGUGGGCAUGUAGAUCUGUUAAGGGCAGAAGUUUUAUCUAACAUGUGAAGUUUGGGGCAGAUUGGACAUUGUAUGUCUGAGUUACAGCAACUUCCUUUUUCAUGGCGAAACAUCGAAAUUUGUCAGGCCACCAUGGACACGCCCUUUAACGAAAUCUAAAGAUCUUCGCAAUUUAACAUCGCAAAGGGCUUAAGAUUACACUGACCAGGUUUGGUGUUGAUCUGAAUAAAUCUCUAGGAGGAGUUCGUUAAAGUACAACCCCUGAAAAUGGCAAAAACAAUGCCAAUAUUGCAGAGAAAAUUCUAAAUAACCGACUUCCUGUUGGGAUUUGGAUUUCGUACCAAGAGACUUUUUUUUAGGUAUUGGUGUGUUAUAUGUGUAUACCGAUUUUUGUACAUGUACGUGAAACAUAGCUCGAGGCGCACUCUGUUGAAAGUGUAUAGGUGGCGCUAUCGAGCCAUUUUGCCACACCUGAUGGAAUUUUGGCCUUCAGAUGUGUUCAGGCCAGGACUCUUAUCACACAUGUGAAGUUUGGGGAAGAUCGGACAUUUUAUGCCUGAGUUAUAACAUCUUUUAUUCCCAUGGCGAGACAUCGAACUUCGUGACGGCGCCAUGGACACGCCUUUUAACGAAAACUCAAGAUCUUCACAACUUAACAUCGCACAGGGCUUUAGAUUAGACUGACCACAAAAAAUACAUUGAUGUCAUAAAAUUUCUAGGAGUAGUUCAUCGCAGUGUAAAAUAUGUCACUUCCUGUUGCCAAUAGGUGGCGCUAUGACUAUAACUGAAUAUGGGCAUGUCAAUCUGUUCAGGUCAGGAGUCUCAUCAAACAUGUGAAGUUUGGGGCAGAUUGGUCAUUGUAUGUCUGAGUUAUAGCAACUUCCUGUUUCAUGGCGAAUCAUCGAAAUUCGCCAAGCCGCCACGGACACGCCCAUUAACGAAAACUCAAAAGCUUCGCAAUUUAACAUCGCAAAGGCCUUCAGAUUAGGCAUACCAAAUUUGGUGUUGAUCUGAAUGAAUCUCUAGGAGGAGUUCGUUAAAAUACAACGCAUGGAAAUGACAAAAAUGACACAAAAUUUGCUCAUAAUAUUAGUAAUAACCGACUUCCUGUUGGGUUUCGGAUUUUGCUCCAAGAGACUUUUUUGUAGGUAUUGGAGAGUUACAUGUGUAUACCGAUUUUCAUACAUGUACAUGAAACGUAGCUCGAGGCGCACACCGUUGAACGUGUAUAGGUGGCGCUGUUGAGCCAUUUUGCCACACCCACUUCUGAAACCCAUAUCAGACGUAAAUUUUCGCCAGUUCUGAGGUGUGUGCAAAGUUUCAUGACUUUUCGAGCAUGUUUAGGCCCUCAAAAAUGCGAUUCAUUUUGGAGAAGAAGAAUAAUAAUAAUAAUUAAAGCUGCAAGCAGCGAUGAACGGGCCCUCGCACCCGGGCUCACCGCCAUCGUGUUGCUCUAGUAAAAAGGUGAACGUUGAGAAAUAUGCAUUUAAUGUCCUAAAUAUAAGUGGAAUAUAUCAAAGUAUAUCCCAUAUAUGUGCCAAUCUUACCGUUGCCAGCAGGUGGCGCUAUCAUUAUAAUGGAAUAUUGGCCUACAGAUGUGUUCAGGCCAGGACUCUUAUCAAACAUGUGAAGUUUGGGGAAGAUUGAACAUUUUAUGCUUGAGUUACAACAACUUCUCUUGCUGUGGCAAGACAUCAAAUUUUGUCAUGGCGCCAUGGAAACGCCCUUUAACAAAAACUCAAGAUCUCCAAAAGUUAACAUUGCACAGGCCUUUAGAUUAGACUGACCAAAAAAUAUAUGUUAAUCUUAAAAAAAUUAUAGGAGUAGUUUGUCGCAGCGUAAAACAUGUCACUUCCUGUUGCCAAUAGGUGGCGCUAUGACUAUAACUGAAAGUGGGCAUGUAGAUCUGUUAAGGGCAGAAGUCUUAUCUAACAUGUGAAGUUUGGGGCAGACUGGACAUUGUAUGUCUGAGUUACAGCAACUUCCUUUUUCAUGGCGAAACAUCGAAAUUUGUCAGGCCACCAUGGACACGCCCUUUAACGAAAUCUAAAGAUCUUCGCAAUUUAACAUCGCAAAGGGCUUAAGAUUACACUGACCAGGUUUGGUGUUGAUCUGAAUAAAUCUCUAGGAGGAGUUCGUUAAAGUACAACCCCUGAAAAUGUCAAAAACAACGCCAAUUUUGCAGAGAAAAUUCUAAAAAACCGACUUCCUGUUGGGAUUCGGAUUUCGUACCAAGAGACUUUUUUGUAGGUAUUGGUGUGUUACAUGUGUAUACCGAUGUUUGUACAUGUACGUGAAACAUAGCUCGAGGCGCACUCUGUUGAAAAUGUAUAGGUGGCGCUAUCGAGCCAUUUUGCCACACCUGAUGGAAUUUUGGCCUUCAGAUGUGUUCAGGCCAGGACUCUUAUCACACAUGUGAAGUUUGGGGAAGAUCGGACAUUUUAUGCCUGAGUUAUAACAUCUUUUAUUCCCAUGGCGAGACAUCGAACUUCGUGACGGCGCCAUGGACACGCCUUUUAACGAAAACUCAAGAUCUUCAAAACUUAACAUCGCACAGGCCUUUAGAUUAGACUGACCACAAAAAAUACAUUGAUGUCAUAAAAUUUCUAGGAGUAGUUCAUCGCAGUGUAAAAUAUGUCACUUCCUGUUGCCAGUAGGUGGCGCUAUGACUAUAACUGAAUAUGGGCAUGUCAAUCUGUUCAGGUCAGGAGUCUCAUCAAACAUGUGAAGUUUGGGGCAGACUGGUCAUUGUAUGUCUGAGUUAUAGCAAUUUCCUGUUUCAUGGCGAGUCAUCGAAAUUCGCCAGGCCGCCACGGACACGCCCAUUAACGAAAACUCAAAAGCUUCGCAAUUUAACAUCGCAAAGGCCUUCAGAUUAGCCAUACCAAAUUUGGUGUUGAUCUGAAUGAAUCUCUAGGAGGAGUUCGUUAAAAUACAACGCAUGGAAAUGACAAAAAUGACACAAAAUUUGCUCAUAAUAUUAGUAAUAACCGACUUCCUGUUGGGUUUCGGAUUUUGCUCCAAGAGACUUUUUUGUAGGUAUUGGAGAGUUACAUGAGUAUACCGAUUUUCAUACAUGUACAUGAAACGUAGCUCGAGGCGCACACCGUUGAACGUGUAUAGGUGGCGCUGUUGAGCCAUUUUGCCACACCCACUUCUGAAACCCAUAUCAGACGUAAAUUUUCGCCAGUUCUGAGGUGUGUGCAAAGUUUCAUGACUUUUCGAGCAUGUUUAGGCCCUCAAAAAUCCGAUUCAUUUUGGAGAAGAAGAAUAAUAAUAAUAAAUAUAGCUGCAAGCAGCGAUGGCGGGCUCAAGCCACCAAUGCCAUCGCCACCCCGGUGGCAUCAGGUAAACUGUGCCCAGCGGGCACAUGCAUUCACAAUAUCC
Molecule: long non-coding RNA, 3941 nt
Organism: Carassius gibelio (silver crucian carp)
Lineage: Eukaryota; Metazoa; Chordata; Actinopteri; Cypriniformes; Cyprinidae
Exons: 3
Source: RefSeq, a predicted model, not a curated record